AAAAAUGUUAGUUCUUUUCCACCACUGUUUACUCAUUCGUUUUACAACUGCUCAACUUUGUUCUGGUCCAGCAGGACUCUCUUGUACAAGCCCCAACAGCUCCAUGCCCAUCCCUGCCCAGGGUCCAGCCUUGUCUUAGUAAACAUUCAUCUCCCUGACUCAGGCUGCUGCUUAGAAAUUCUGUUUCGGUUGCAGUUCCAUUGUGUGGAGCCAGUACUACAACUUUUCCUCCUGCAUUCAUUUCUCUUCCUGCUGCCUUGUGAAGAAGGUGCCUUGCUUCCCCUUCACCUUCUACGGUGAUUGCAAGUUGCCUGAGGAUUCCCCAGCCAUGUGAAACUAGACUAUGUAAGAAACUGGUGAUAUAACAAGGAAACCAGAGAGACAAAGUGUCUGUUCUCAGGGAAUGGCUUGAACAUAUUAGGACUAAGUAACAUUUUUUCUUUAAGAUCCCAGUGUUCAGAAAAGGAAGAGAGGAUUCAUAGGAGAUCCACGCACUUUGUAAGAGAACCAUAUUGUUGAAGUUCUAUCAGAUUGAACUUAAAAGGACAAUGACAAUUCAAAAUGAAAAGAGCUCUCAGGACUCCAAACUUUUCUUGGAUAAGAAGAAAGCUGUAAAACCUAUUCAACUGAAAACACAAGCUAUUUGUUUAAAAAAAAGGAAGGAUGACAGAGUAAAAAGUCAAGAAUCACAAAGUCCCAGGCAGCAGGACUGCAUCAUCAUCAAAGAAAUGGUGAUAUAUGCCUAGCUGGACUUCAGAAUUACUAGGAAGCAGUGACUUCUAUGUGCUUUCAGCUCCCCUCCCACCACUGAAUUUGAAUGCAUGUGUUUAUUGUAUUUAUCUUAUCACCAUUAGAUAGAUAUGUAGGAAAUAAUUUGUGUCUUUAGUUCACAGAGUUUGAGAGAAACUGUAUUCAAGUUGCUGAAACCAAGAAGCUACACUCACGAGUCUCACCUAAACUCGAAUCUGAUUUAGAUGACAUCAUCCUGGACUUUGAGUUGAUGAAACCUUGGAGGUCUUGGGAGUAAAGCAAGUGUGAUUUGCAUAUGAUGGAUAUGAAUUGUAAUGGCCAGAGCAUGGCUGUGGUAGGUAACAUCUAGAGAUGGCCACCAUUAUUUUUUUUUUCCUCUAUCCGCACAUACUACUUCUCCUGUACUCUUGAAACUGGGAUGAAAUUAGCAACUUUGUUAACCAAUAUAAUGUGCCACAGAAGUGACUUUUGCGACUUGUGAGGUUAGAUCUUAAGAAGUCUUGUAUCUUCUUUCUGGAUCACUUGGAAUGCUUACUACGGGAACCAAGCCACUGUUCUAUGAGAAGUGCAAGUCACAUGGAGAAACCAUGUUUUGGCAAGCUAGUCUGCAUCUUCAGAGAUGAAAACUCCCAUUUUAGGGAACCAAGACUGAAUUCCAUAAUUUACAUGGAUGUUUGGAAGGUGUCUGCAACUUAAUCUGUGUUCGUUUCUGAGAUGUUGGGCAACUCCUUCUUGGAAGAUGUGGUAAUGGUCUCUUCGAAAAGAAAAUAAUCAUCUGAGUUUUGGCCAAAAUAGUUGAUCGGAUUACCUAUGAAAAUGACUCUCACCCAACUACAAGAAUGUUAUGAUGUAGAAACUCUAAAUAUAUGAGUAAUUAACUAUACAACACUCCAUCCCCAUGUGAAAAUCUUUAAUCUUUUAAGAUACUGAAAUUUUGUGUAUGUCUCAUAAUUUUCUGUAUAUGGUCAAUGAGUUUUGCCUUAGCCAUAAGUGGUCUGUCUGAAAUCUUCUCUAUUAUUUGUGCAUUUUCUUCCUGAUGUACCAAGCCUAGUCUGUUUGUUUUUUCCUAAGAGAAAAGCAGAUGAUUCAACUGUGUAUUUCUCAGUGUUGAUAUUGUGGUUUGAGGUAUUUCAUAAUCUUGAGUAAAAUCUUGUCAAUUUUAUGCUAUGCCUUGUGGGAACAUAUUUUUACUUUUAAGUCUCUUUGGCAAGUGGAGCUUCCUUUGUGUUUCCUCACCAAAUGUAUUCCCCAUUGUUUUCUGAUUAAUUCUUUUUCAGAAUGUUUACUCCUUCUUACCUCAAUGUCAUUACUUUUCAGUCUUGGCUUUGGGUAAACCUAGGACAAGAAUUGGAUAUCCAAAGCCAAUUUCAAUAUAAAAACUAUAAUAUCUAUCAAAAUCUAUGUAAAAUCCUGUGUAUAUUUCUCUUCUUUGUUGAACAGGGGCUUAUAAUCAUGUAGGUAAAUACACGUGGUUUUGAUUUCAGCACUGAUUACUGAAGAUUUGUCUUCCAUUCUUCUGGGCCAGGCCCAUACACAACCAUAGUUAGAAGUAAAAACUAUUUGUUAUACCUGGAAUGCCUUUCCUUUCAAUCUCUGAAUGUCUAAAAUUACUUUUUCUUUGAAGACCACCUCAGGUGACCCUACUGUGGGGAAAAUGCCUGAAUUAUCUUUGUAAUCCCAGCUCAGCCACUUAAAGAUUGUGUAAGUUUAGUGUCAGCAUAUUACUUAAGUUCUUUUAGAUUUAGUUUCCUCAUAUGUAAGCUGGGGAUAAUAAUACCUACCUCAUAGAAAAUGAAUGAGAAUCAAGUUAUAUAAUAUAUGAACAACACUUGACACUGUGUGUGAACACUCAAUACAUGUAAAUCAUUAUUAUUAGCAAAAUGAUUAUUAGGUUCUCAUGCUAAUCCACAAUUUUUAUUGGCAGAUAUCCAUUAGUUUAUAGUUAAUGUUAUUCAUAAUCUUUUCUUCAUAUUCAAAUAGGAAGAGAUGACUUCUCAAUCUAGUUAAUCCUGGAUGUGUAUUUCUCUUAAUUUAUUGAGUGUAAAAUGCUUAUUUAUAUACAUACAAUUUCCCUUAUUAGUGAACAUCUAGAAGGCAGAAUGGUACUUCAUUUCUUUCUGUAUGUUUAGCACCAAGGACAGUACCUGGCACAUAGAAGAUACAUAUUAAAAACAAAUAAAACAACUCUUAAUGGAUCUCAUUUUAAAAAAAUUCUCGGUUAAUUAUAAAGGCUCUAGUAAACCAAAUAAUUGUAUGUUAACUUAUUUACUUUUAUUACUGUGUUUAUUUUCUCCAACUGCUUCAUCAUACAAAGUAAACACCUGAAUGUAAGCUGCAUGAGGGCAAGAGCUGUGUCUUGUUUACUGCUCUCAAGAACAUUUGAGCAAAGUGCCUGGCACAUGGCAGACACUCAAUAAGUUACAAUUAAUACUCAAUGUAUGAACUGAUCUAUACUUAGAAUUGACUAAGAAGAAUAAGUCUUACACAGACUCAGUCUCUGAGAACUUGAAAAUCUAAGUUUGCAUAUCUCUGCUGUUGUGUUUUCAGGUUACUCAGUAGAAAACCAAGUUAUUUACACAUCCUCAAGUGUCUCAAGGUUAAAUCUUCCAUGCAUAAAAUAUCUGGGCGAUUGAUUGUGUUUCUUACUUUGCUCCUAAGUAUGUUAGCAUCAUAUAGGCAUAGCCUAAGCCAGACCAAAAUGAAUUCAUUGAUUGACUCAACAAAUGUUUAUGGAUCUCAG
This 3490-nucleotide long non-coding RNA is filed under the name Homo sapiens (human). RNAcentral's name for it is "HSALNT0142881". The record is from RNAcentral. Lineage: Eukaryota; Metazoa; Chordata; Mammalia; Primates; Hominidae.